AUUGAAUUAUUUAGUGAGGUCUCGGACGUGAUCACUGUGACGCAUGUGUGUGCGUUGUUUCGCAAAAGUUGACGAACUGAUAUUAGAGAGUAAAGUCGUAACAAGGUUUCCGUAGGUGAACCUGCGGAAGGAUCAUUA
This 138-nucleotide non-coding RNA is filed under the name Drosophila virilis. RNAcentral's name for it is "Eukaryotic small subunit ribosomal RNA". It matches the Rfam family "Eukaryotic small subunit ribosomal RNA", at positions 1688 to 1831 of the family's 1831-position model. Lineage: Eukaryota; Metazoa; Arthropoda; Insecta; Diptera; Drosophilidae. The record is from Rfam by way of RNAcentral.